CAAGCAGAGGGGGCUUAGUGGUGGGGUGACUGCGUACCUUUUGUAUAAUGGGUCAGCGACUUAUAUUCUGUAGCAAGGUUAACCGUAUAGGGGAGCCGGAGGGAAACCGAGUCUUAAUUGGGCGUUAAGUUGCAGGGUAUAGACCCGAAACCCGGUGAUCUAGCCAUGGGCAGGUUGAAGGUUGGGUAACACUAACUGGAGGACCGAACCGACUAAUGUUGAAAAAUUAGCGGAUGACCUGUGGCUGGGGGUGAAAGGCCAAUCAAACCGGGAGAUAGCUGGUUCUCCCCGAAAGCUAUUUAGGUAGCGCCUCGUGAAUUCAUCUCCGGGGGUAGAGCACUGUUUCGGCUAGGGGGCCAUCCCGGCUUACCAACCCGAUGCAAACUGCGAAUACCGGAGAAUGUUAUCACGGGAGACACACGGCGGGUGCUAACGUCCGUCGUGAAGAGGGAAACAACCCAGACCGCCAGCUAAGGUCCCAAAGUCAUGGUUAAGUGGGAAACGAUGUGGGAAGGCCCAGACAGCCAGGAUGUUGGCUUAGAAGCAGCCAUCAUUUAAAGAAAGCGUAAUAGCUCACUGGUCGAGUCGGCCUGCGCGGAAGAUGUAACGGGGCUAAACCAUGCACCGAAGCUGCGGCAGCGAACGUAUCACUUAAAGCGAUUCAGCGGGUUACGAUUGACGGAGCGAAGCGACGUCAAAGCGUAUACAAAGUCGAGUCGGUUUAAGGAUACGUUCGUUGGGUAGGGGAGCGUUCUGUAAGCCUGCGAAGGUGGCCUGUGAGGGUUGCUGGAGGUAUCAGAAGUGCGAAUGCUGACAUAAGUAACGAUAAAGCGGGUGAAAAGCCCGCUCGCCGGAAGACCAAGGGUUCCUGUCCAACGUUAAUCGGGGCAGGGUGAGUCGACCCCUAAGGCGAGGCCGAAAGGCGUAGUCGAUGGGAAACGGGUUAAUAUUCCCGUACUUGGUGUUACUGCGAAGGGGGGACGGAGAAGGCUAUGUUGGCCGGGCGACGGUUGUCCCGGUUUAAGCGUGUAGGCUGGUUUUCCAGGCAAAUCCGGAAAAUCAAGGCUGAGGCGUGACGACGAGGCACUACGGUGCUGAAGCAACAAAUGCCCUGCUUCCAGGAAAAGCCUCUAAGCAUCAGGUAACACGAAAUCGUACCCCAAACCGACACAGGUGGUCAGGUAGAGAAUACCAAGGCGCUUGAGAGAACUCGGGUGAAGGAACUAGGCAAAAUGGUGCCGUAACUUCGGGAGAAGGCACGCUGACACGUAGGUGAAGUGAUUUACUCAUGGAGCUGAAGUCAGUCGAAGAUACCAGCUGGCUGCAACUGUUUAUUAAAAACACAGCACUGUGCAAACACGAAAGUGGACGUAUACGGUGUGACGCCUGCCCGGUGCCGGAAGGUUAAUUGAUGGGGUCAGCGCAAGCGAAGCUCCUGAUCGAAGCCCCGGUAAACGGCGGCCGUAACUAUAACGGUCCUAAGGUAGCGAAAUUCCUUGUCGGGUAAGUUCCGACCUGCACGAAUGGCGUAAUGAUGGCCAGGCUGUCUCCACCCGAGACUCAGUGAAAUUGAACUCGCUGUGAAGAUGCAGUGUACCCGCGGCAAGACGGAAAGACCCCGUGAACCUUUACUAUAGCUUGACACUGAACAUUGAGCCUUGAUGUGUAGGAUAGGUGGGAGGCUUUGAAGCGUGGACGCCAGUCUGCGUGGAGCCGACCUUGAAAUACCACCCUUUAAUGUUUGAUGUUCUAACGUGGACCCGUUA
Molecule: ribosomal RNA, 1766 nt
Filed under: Salmonella enterica subsp. enterica serovar Thompson
Lineage: Bacteria; Pseudomonadati; Pseudomonadota; Gammaproteobacteria; Enterobacterales; Enterobacteriaceae
Also listed under: 1 other name
Description: partial 23S ribosomal RNA
Rfam family: Bacterial large subunit ribosomal RNA
Source: RNAcentral